GUCUCGCUGUAACGCAUUGGAUAGCGUGUUGGACUUCUAAUCCAAGGGUAAUGGGUUUGAAUCCCACUAGGGAUG
Molecule: non-coding RNA, 75 nt
Organism: Trichonephila clavata
Lineage: Eukaryota; Metazoa; Arthropoda; Arachnida; Araneae; Nephilidae
Source: the annotation of a GenBank genome assembly